UGGGGAAUAUUGGACAAUGGGCGCAAGCCUGAUCCAGCCAUGCCGCGUGAGUGAUGAAGGGCCCUAGGGUUGUAAAGCUCUUUCGCCAGGGGACGAUAAUGACGGUACCUGGAUAAGAAGCCCCGGCUAACUUCGUGCCAGCAGCCGCGGUAAUACGAAGGGGGCUAGCGUUGUUCGGAAUCACUGGGCGUAAAGCGCACGUAGGCGGAUCUUUAAGUCAGGGGUGAAAUCCCGAGGCUCAACUCGGAACUGCCUUUGAUACUGGAGGUCUCGAGUCCGGGAGAGGUGAGUGGAACUGCGAGUGUAGAGGUGAAAUUCGUAGAUAUUCGCAAGGACACCAGUGGCGAAGGCGGCUCACUGGCCCGGUACUGACGCUGAGGUGCGAAACGCGUGGGGAGCAAAACAGGAUUAGAUACCCUGGUAGUCCACGCCGUAAACUAUGGAUGCUAGCCGUUGGGCAGCUUGCUGUUCAGUGGCGCAGCUAACGCUUUAAGCAU
RNAcentral lists this ribosomal RNA (497 nucleotides) under uncultured bacterium. RNAcentral describes it as "partial 16S ribosomal RNA". It matches the Rfam family "Bacterial small subunit ribosomal RNA", at positions 355 to 867 of the family's 1533-position model. The record is from RNAcentral.